AGCCUCGUCCCAUCUGAUUUGGGUGUUGUGCGUCCAUCAUCUAAGAGAGAAAAAAAAUGAAUGGCCGCAUGUGCGUUUCUUUUCUUCUGCUCGUGUGUGCGCAUAACAAAAAAGAAUCAGUUCUUGGCAUGUUGUUCUGAUCGUCGAGCAAGGAGCAGAAAAAAUCGAUUGACCCCUUCUAUCAGGGGGUGCAUCGACUGCAAGAAAGAAAGAAGAAGAUGAGGGCAGGGGCAGGUUGCGAACAUUAGCAAGCAAGUCCCAAUCGGUCUUGUUGUGGGGUAUCGAUCACAAUAGCAAGGGAUGUGGCUCUGAUUUCUUGCUCCAAACUUGUUGAAUCGGUCAUUCAUCUUGGUGAAAACUUGACAACUUCAAGAAGGGUCAAGGCUUGAAAUAAAAAGGAGAACUCGCUUCAAACAUAAGGUAUCUUAGGAGCAUGGCUUGGUGAGGUUGGGUUCCUUUUGGGUAGUUAGUUUUAAUAAAGAUGCCACCUGAACAUAUUUGGUUUUUAUUUUCCUUUGAACUCCUUUUUGCAAUAAUUAAAUGGUUGAAUGUUGUUUAUGAAAAUGGUAACGCGUGGUUUUGAAAAUGUUUUGAAUUAAAAAGGAAACUAAGUCUUCCGCUAACGUAUUUUGUUAAAUAAAUGUUUUAAAAAGAAAAUAAAAUUAUGGUGAAAAUCACGACGUUACAGUUUUCCUUUUGAAGAUGAUUUUACACAUGUUGAUCAAGGUGAAAGAACAUUCCCUUCUUCGUGCAUUCGUGGAACUGUAAAUCAUACUUUUCUUCCUCCACCUCCUCCAGUGAUUCUCCUUGACCCACGUUUUCGUCGACUUGAAAAGUUCAAGAUCACUCAAGCCCUAUUGGCAUGCAAACACCUAGAUGGAAAUUAUGUGUGUGCACACGCCCUGAAGAUGAAGCCGCACAUUAACAGACUGGGAAUUGUAACACCGUAUUUUCCAAAACAAUUUUUCGCAUUUUAUAAAAACAUAAUUCAUUCAUUAUUCAUAAAAAUAUCAUUGUUUAAAACUCAAUUCAUAACAUAUAUCAAUCCUAAGAUCUCAUAACAUAAAAAUCCCGUGUGUGUACUGAUCAAGCCGGCGCCUUUCCGCGAUCCUCACUAGUACCUGAAACACAUGACAUAAAACACUGUAAGCACAAAGCUUAGUGAGUUCCCCAAAAUACCACAUAUAACACAUAUUAGCCACUCGAGGCUAUAACUCUAUGGGUCCGUGCACCCAAACUCUGUAACCCUCAGGUUCUAACUCUGUAAACAUGCACAACAUAAAUCACAUAGAAUAAUGCAGUGCAACACAUAACACAUAUAUAGCAUACAAACACUGUAUCACAUAACUCUAGUUACCUACUCAAGGUAAAGUAUAGUGAGAAGACUCACCUUGGAUAUCUCAGUAAAUCUCUGACUCGGUAACUCUGGUCUAGCCCCUGCCUAAUCACAUGAAAUAAAUACUCUAAUUAAUACCACCCUCAGGGCUAGGCUAAUCUCUUUCUCUCUAUACAUCCUCUAGGAAGGGUAAAAGACUAUCCCACCCUUCUGAUGUCUCUAAGGUCCAAACAUUGACUAACCCUAAAAGUCAACAAAGUCAACGGUCAACCUUGACCAAACUCGCCAAGUGCACAACUAUGACUCGGCGAGUCCACACGUGAUCUUUACUCUCCUAGUCCUCAUUCGACUCACUGAGUCAACCUCAACUCUGCAAAACAUCACUGAUCACAAUCUGUGAAAUAUCCCGACCCAACUCGCCGAGUCCGGCUCCUGACUCGGCAAGUACCAUCGUGCACUCUGACCUCUAGAUUCCCUCUGACUCACCGAGUCGCUUCCCCAACUCAGUGAGUCACCAACUGUGUGAUUAUUGGGAAAACCCUCGUCCUACUCGCCGAGUCGGCUAUUGGACUCGGCGAGUCCAUGCCAUGCUCAAGCUGAACUGACCUCUUGAGGUCAGAUCCGCUCCUGUAAACCAUAGAUCCAGCUUCCCAAAGCAUAAUAAUCACGUAAAUUUAACAUCUUGGUGCUCAUGCAAAGGCUCAAAGGCCUUAUUUGAAGAUAUGGCCUCUAAAAUGACAUCCUAAGCUCAUAACCUCCAUUAACACCCAUAAAGCUCAAGGGAAAAGGGUCUCUGGACCUCUUUGGGUCCAGAUCUACAGCACCAAUACGAGAAGGGACCAAUUACUCCAUAUAACCAUCCUCUAAAGGGGCUAAAAAGCCCUAACUCUAAGAAUUACACCAUAAACUGAAGAAGGGUCGAAUGAAUACCUCAAAAUGAAGUCUCUGAGCCUUGGAAUCACUGGAUUAGCACCCUCUUCAGCCUCAUCUUGUCUUGGUCCUCUUCUAUUUGCAAAAACACCAACAAUGAUCAAGAAAUGACUCCUUUCCUCUCACAAACGCUCUAGCUCACUUAGGGUUUCUCUCUGGGGUCUGGUAGCCGCAAUUGACGGCCAUAAUGCCCUUUAAAUAGGCCCCAAACCCGAGGAAUUAGGGUUUCAUUAAACAGCAUGGACUCGCCGAGUCCUUGGGGCGACUCGCCGAGUCCAGCCAUCCACCCGGAUAAUGAUUCGUGUCCCUACUCGGCGAGUCUACGCAUCAACUCGCCGAGUUCUUCCACAAAACUUGAAAUUCAACGAAUAAAUAUAAUACCUGAAAUUCCGGAUGUUACAGGAAUGUUUGGUGUCGUUUUCCUAAGGAAGUUAGUUGUUGAGUUGGUUCUUCAAUCGCUUCCUGAGUCAUAUAGUUAAUUCGUUAAGGACUACUAUAUGACGCACUGGUCAAGCGAAUUUGUUUGGAAGAUCUACCUCCUAAAUUUCCAUGGACGUAGGAAAUGACAACGAUGAUAGUCCGGAAAUGAUUUCUUCUCCUAAGAGAGAGAAAUCGGAUAAGAUCAAAAAGUUUGACCGUAAGAGAAAGGACGAUGCUGAGAUAGUUUCACGUGUCAUUCCUAAAGAUUCCAUCUGUCUUUAGUUCCAAUUGAAGGGGAACCAGAAGCAAACUUGCCCAGACUACCUGAGAUAUCUUAGAGAUGAUAAAGUCAAAUUGUAUAACUCUGCUUCAGGUACGUCCACUAUCUAACUCUAUUAAGUUCCUAUUUAUAGACUCUUAUUACAUGAUACGUUGAUCACAUUUUGAUGUUUUGUAUUAUCGAAGAGAAAGAAGGAAGCUUAAAAGAGGAGAAAAUUGAGUCUGAUCGUGAGAAAUGGAUUUCGGUCGCAUGCUUCGAUGAUCAGAUUUUUGAGCUGCUACUUAGGAGUUAUGAUAAAUUGCUUACGAAUAUUUAGAAACAUAGUUUUCAUAUGUAUUUGUGUUGUAAGGAC
Lactuca sativa (garden lettuce) is the source of this 3318-nucleotide long non-coding RNA. RefSeq lists it as uncharacterized. The record is from RefSeq and is a predicted model, not a curated record. Lineage: Eukaryota; Viridiplantae; Streptophyta; Magnoliopsida; Asterales; Asteraceae.